RNAcentral lists this ribosomal RNA (687 nucleotides) under uncultured organism. Its description in RNAcentral is "bacterial SSU rRNA". It matches the Rfam family "Bacterial small subunit ribosomal RNA", at positions 773 to 1469 of the family's 1533-position model. The record is from RNAcentral.
CGGGAUUAGAUACCCCGGUAGUCCUAGCUGUAUACGAUGGAUGCUGGGUCUGGGGGGUGUAAAUUCCCUCUGUGCCGAAGCAUACGCGUUAAGCAUCCCGCCUGGGGACUACGGCCGCAAGGCUAAAACUCAAACGAAUUGACGGGGGCCCGCACAAGCAGCGGAGCGUGUGGUUUAAUUCGAUGCUACACGAAGAACCUUACCUGGGCUUGACAUACAGGUAGUAGUGAAGUGAAAGCGGAUCGAUCCUUCGGGGAGCCUGUACAGGUGCUGCAUGGCUGUCGUCAGCUCGUGCCGUGAGGUGUCGGGUUAAGUCCCGUAACGAGCGCAACCCUUGCUCUUAGUUAUACGUGUCUAAGAGGACUGCCGGCGGUAAGCCGGAGGACGCUGGGGAUGACGUCAAGUCAGCAUGGCCUUUAUGUCCAGGGCUACACACACGCUACAAUGGCCGGUACAAUGGGUAGCUAAACCGCGAGGUGGAGCCAAUCCUGUAAAGCCGGUCUCAGUUCGAAUUGCAGGCUGCAACUCGCAUGCAUGAAGUCGGAGUUGCUAGUAAUCGCAGGUCAGCAAUCCUGCGCUGAAUACGUUCCCGGGCCUUGUACACACCGCCCGUCACGUCAUGGAAGCUGGCAACACCUGAAGCCGGUGAGCUAACCCGAAAGGGGGGCAACUGUCGAAGGUGAGGCU